AUACGGAGGGUGCAAGCGUUGUUCGGAAUCACUGGGCGUACAGGGCGCGCAGGCGGUUUGGUAAGUCAGAUGUGAAAGCCCACGGCUCAACCGUGGAAGUGCAUUUGAAACUGCCAGACUUGAGUACCAGAGGGGAAAGUGGAAUUCCCGGUGUAGAGGUGAAAUUCGUAGAUAUCGGGAGGAAUACCGGUGGCGAAGGCGACUUUCUGGCUGGAUACUGACGCUGAGGCGCGAAAGCGUGGGGAGCAAACAGGAUUAGAAACCCUAGUAGUCC
Molecule: ribosomal RNA, 274 nt
Filed under: uncultured bacterium
Lineage: Bacteria
Description: partial 16S ribosomal RNA
Rfam family: Bacterial small subunit ribosomal RNA
Source: RNAcentral